UACAGAGGUCCCAAGCGUUGUUCGGAUUCAUUGGGCGUAAAGGGUGUGUAGGUGGCGCCGUAAGUCAGGUGUGAAAUCUCGGGGCUUAACCCCGAAACUGCACUUGAUACUGCGGUGCUCGAGUACUGGAGAGGAGAUUGGAAUUUACGGUGUAGCAGUGAAAUGCGUAGAUAUCGUAAGGAAGACCAGUGGCGAAGGCGAAUCUCUGGACAGUUACUGACACUGAGGCACGAAGGCCAGGGGAGCAAACGGG
This 253-nucleotide ribosomal RNA is filed under the name uncultured bacterium. RNAcentral's name for it is "partial 16S ribosomal RNA". It matches the Rfam family "Bacterial small subunit ribosomal RNA", at positions 524 to 776 of the family's 1533-position model. The record is from RNAcentral.